UCUCCGGUGGCCUUGCAGCUAAGGCUCCAGCAUUGUCACUGCUGUGGCUCAGGUUCGAUCCCUGGCAUGGGAA
This 73-nucleotide transfer RNA is filed under the name Sus scrofa (pig). It matches the Rfam family "tRNA". From Rfam's summary of the family: Transfer RNA (tRNA) molecules are approximately 80 nucleotides in length. Their secondary structure includes four short double-helical elements and three loops (D, anti-codon, and T loops). Lineage: Eukaryota; Metazoa; Chordata; Mammalia; Artiodactyla; Suidae. The record is from Rfam by way of RNAcentral.